Molecule: long non-coding RNA, 749 nt
Organism: Wyeomyia smithii (pitcher-plant mosquito)
Lineage: Eukaryota; Metazoa; Arthropoda; Insecta; Diptera; Culicidae
Exons: 3
Source: RefSeq, a predicted model, not a curated record
UCCGUGAAUUUCUCACAUUCAUCCUUUAACUCAUGGGUUUCGUUAGCCACAUCAGGAUCAAUUACGCGUAAAGAAUACAAAUCAUCUAUGUAGAUACCAGAACUACCUAAUUCUUCGCUCAUUUCAACAGUUUUAUAAAAUACGGAAAUAUCAUCUUUAUUAUUGAUUAACAUUUAUGUUUGUGCAAUACGUAGUCAAGGUAACCUUGGUAAUCUACAGUGCUUGCAGCACUGCAAUCAUGCGCGACACGCAUUUAUGAGCGUAUUCUAUUCACACCAUGUAAAUACGAAACAUCUCAACAAAAAACAAAAAGUAAUCAAAAAGGUGAUAGAAUUUAAAAGAAGGCGAAUUUGAUUUCAUUUCAAACAUUUAAAAAUACCUUACAACUAUCCACCAUACACUGUAAAUAAAUGGUACGAUUACUUCAAGUAUUUUUGCACUUGAUUCAAUUCGUCACGUGGCACUGCAAAUUGAACUGCAAUAUCAAUUGACAAACGUCAGAACCAUGAGGCGAAACAAAAAUAGUGACGGUGGCGAAAGGCGUAAGCAGCACAUUUUCCCCAGAGAUUAACAAUUUGUUUGAAACUCCUGAAAUCGGUUGCACCGACAUGAUGACAGAAAUCAUUUUGUAAUUAAAUUGAAAAUCUGAGAUUUAAAAAAAAUGAAAAAAUCUAAAAUAAAUAACAAUCAAAAGAUCAAAAGAUUUAUUCUGAUUAGCUGAUAAUAUCCAAAUGAUCGACAUUCCUUAU